RNAcentral lists this ribosomal RNA (460 nucleotides) under uncultured bacterium. Its description in RNAcentral is "partial 16S ribosomal RNA". It matches the Rfam family "Bacterial small subunit ribosomal RNA", at positions 338 to 795 of the family's 1533-position model. The record is from RNAcentral.
CCUACGGGGGGCAGCAGUGAGGAAUAUUGGUCAAUGGACGAGAGUCUGAACCAGCCAAGUAGCGUGAAGGAUGACUGCCCUAUGGGUUGUAAACUUCUUUUAUAUGGGAAUAAAACGUUCCAUGUGUGGGAUUUUGUAUGUACCAUAUGAAUAAGGAUCGGCUAACUCCGUGCCAGCAGCCGCGGUAAUACGGAGGAUCCGAGCGUUAUCCGGAUUUAUUGGGUUUAAAGGGAGCGUAGGUGGAUUGUUAAGUCAGUUGUGAAAGUUUGCGGCUCAACCGUAAAAUUGCAGUUGAAACUGGCAGUCUUGAGUACAGCAGAGGUGGGCGGAAUUCGUGGUGUAGCGGUGAAAUGCUUAGAUAUCACGAAGAACUCCGAUUGCGAAGGCAGUUCACUGGACUGCAACUGACACUGAGGCUCGAAAGUGUGGGUAUCAAACAGGAUUAGAUACCCCAGUAGUC